Molecule: ribosomal RNA, 497 nt
Filed under: Bacillus mycoides
Lineage: Bacteria; Bacillati; Bacillota; Bacilli; Caryophanales; Bacillaceae
Description: bacterial SSU rRNA
Rfam family: Bacterial small subunit ribosomal RNA
Source: RNAcentral
GCAGCAGUAGGGAAUCUUCCGCAAUGGACGAAAGUCUGACGGAGCAACGCCGCGUGAGUGAUGAAGGCUUUCGGGUCGUAAAACUCUGUUGUUAGGGAAGAACAAGUGCUAGUUGAAUAAGCUGGCACCUUGACGGUACCUAACCAGAAAGCCACGGCUAACUACGUGCCAGCAGCCGCGGUAAUACGUAGGUGGCAAGCGUUAUCCGGAAUUAUUGGGCGUAAAGCGCGCGCAGGUGGUUUCUUAAGUCUGAUGUGAAAGCCCACGGCUCAACCGUGGAGGGUCAUUGGAAACUGGGAGACUUGAGUGCAGAAGAGGAAAGUGGAAUUCCAUGUGUAGCGGUGAAAUGCGUAGAGAUAUGGAGGAACACCAGUGGCGAAGGCGACUUUCUGGUCUGUAACUGACACUGAGGCGCGAAAGCGUGGGGAGCAAACAGGAUUAGAUACCCUGGUAGUCCACGCCGUAAACGAUGAGUGCUAAGUGUUAGAGGGUUUCCG